Molecule: small nucleolar RNA, 200 nt
Organism: Pseudoliparis swirei
Lineage: Eukaryota; Metazoa; Chordata; Actinopteri; Perciformes; Liparidae
Product: small nucleolar RNA SNORA53
Exons: 1
Source: RefSeq, a predicted model, not a curated record
AACACGCUCCUUAGAUCCACCUCUGGAGGGCGCUGCGCUCUGAGCGGAGCCCCUCGGCAGCUUUCUGGCUGUACGGUUGGAGGUGCAUGAGUCAUUGGCGUGUGAGAGCAGUCUACCUGUCCCUCCAGCCCACGCAGCACUAGCAACCCUGUCCUCCAGACGGGGAGCUCCUGGUGCUGCAAGCCUGGGGGACGGACACU